RNAcentral lists this long non-coding RNA (342 nucleotides) under Phasianus colchicus (ring-necked pheasant). RNAcentral's name for it is "lncRNA (ENSPCLG00000022115.1)". The record is from RNAcentral. Lineage: Eukaryota; Metazoa; Chordata; Aves; Galliformes; Phasianidae.
CACAAAUCUUCAUUUGGUUACCCUUGUGCAGCAGAUGUUUGCCUUUUCACUCUUCCCAUCUGGAAGUGAGAUGUUGGGCUUUUCAAUGUUUUGCUUUGUUUUUAUAGGGAGGUGGGUGACAAGCACACAGAGUUCACUGCUAAACUACUGCAAACAAGUGGAUCAGAAACAGAAUUGGAGCUAUUUUAUCUGGACCUAAUUAAACAACCUUCAUUACUGGCAGGUAUGUGUUUGUGAUGACUAGAAAUUAGCUUGAUUGGAAUUAAAACUCCAAAUAUAAGGCAUUGAAAUUGCUUGUUUUUUAAAAAUAAAUGGUUUAAAAAUAUAUCUGUGAAGUAUAUA